Molecule: ribosomal RNA, 497 nt
Filed under: uncultured bacterium
Lineage: Bacteria
Description: partial 16S ribosomal RNA
Rfam family: Bacterial small subunit ribosomal RNA
Source: RNAcentral
GAUGAACGCUGGCGGCGUGCCUAAUACAUGCAAGUCGAGCGAACAGACGAGGAGCUUGCUCCUCUGACGUUAUCGGCGGACGGGUGAGUAACACGUGGAUAACCUACCUAUCAGACUGGGAUAACUUCGGGAAACCGGAGCUAAUACCGGAUAAUAUAUUGAACCGCAUGGUUCAAUAGUGAAAGACGGUUUUGCUGUCACUUAUAGAUUGAUCCGCGCCGCAUUAGCUAGUUGGUAAGGUAACUGCUUACCAAGGCAACGAUGCGUAGCCGACCUGAGAGGGAGAUCGGAUACCCGGGAACUGAGACAGGGCACAGACUCCUACGGGAGGAAGCAGUAGGGAAUCUUCCGCAAUGGGCGAAAGCCUGACGGAGCAACGCGGCGUGAGUGAUGAAGGUCUUCGGAUCGUAAAACUCUGUUAUUAGGGAAGAAGAAAUGUGUAAGUAACUAUGCACGUCUUGACGGUACCUAAUCAGAAAGCCACGGCUAACUACGUG